Molecule: ribosomal RNA, 506 nt
Filed under: uncultured bacterium
Lineage: Bacteria
Description: partial 16S ribosomal RNA
Rfam family: Bacterial small subunit ribosomal RNA
Source: RNAcentral
AGUGAACGCUGGCGGUAGGCCUAACACAUGCAAGUCGAACGGCAGCACAGGAGAGCUUGCUCUCUGGGUGGCGAGUGGCGGACGGGUGAGGAAUACAUCGGAAUCUACUUUUUCGUGGGGGAUAACGUAGGGAAACUUACGCUAAUACCGCAUACGACCUACGGGUGAAAGCAGGGGAUCUUCGGACCUUGCGCGAGUGAAUGAGCCGAUGUCGGAUUAGCUAGGUUGCGGGGUAAAGGCCCACCAAGGCGACGAUCGGUAGCUGUUCUAGGAGGAUGAUCAGCCACACUGGAACUGAGACACGGUGCAGACUCCUACGGGAGGCAGCAGUGGGGAAUAUUGGACAAUGGGCGCAAGCCUGAUCCAGCAAUACCGCGUGGGUGAAGAAGGCCUUCGGGUUGUAAAGCCCUUUUGUUGGGAAAGAAAUCCAGCUGGUUAAUACCCGGUUGGGAUGACGGUACCCAAAGAAUAAGCACCGGCUAACUUCGUGCCAGCCGCCGCCGUAA